Molecule: ribosomal RNA, 253 nt
Filed under: uncultured bacterium
Lineage: Bacteria
Description: partial 16S ribosomal RNA
Rfam family: Bacterial small subunit ribosomal RNA
Source: RNAcentral
UACGGGGGGGGCAAGCGUUGUUCGGAAUUACUGGGCGUAAAGGGCGCGUAGGCGGUCGGCCAAGUCUGGGGUGAAAUCUUUCGGCUCAACCGGAAAAGUGCCCCCGAUACUGGCCGUCUAGAGGGAGGUAGGGGCAUGUGGAACUUCCGGUGGAGCGGUGAAAUGCGUAGAUAUCGGAAGGAACGCCGGUGGCGAAAGCGACGUGCUGGACCUCAUCUGACGCUGAGGCGCGAAAGCCAGGGGAGCAAACGGG